CUGCUCUGCUGGAGUUUUCAGUAUUAAUUUGGGGUGAGGAAGAAGUGUUGCUGUCAGCCUGCUUACCAGAGAGUGGUUCUGGUUAGGAGCCCUCCCAUCUGCGAUAAAUGACCUCUAUGUUACACCUGAAGAGCAGCCUGAGAUGCAACAGCAUGGCUGAGGCUUCCUUUUAAUGCUUCUGGCAAGGCUAAAUGUCCCUUGCCUCCUCCUCCCUGUGCUAUGGGGCUGGAGUGAGGUGAAAAGAAGACUGCAUCAAGAACUCUGAUUCUUCUCCCCUCUGGGAAAGAAGGGCAGCAAACUGGUGUUUCAGUGUUCCUCCCAAAUCCCAGCAUGACUUGAGGCUGUCAAGUGUCUAGUUCAUGAUGUUUGAAUGCCUGUGGUUGGAAAGGUCAGAUGUUUUCAGCAUUUCAUAUGGAUGAGUGCAGACUGCAGAGAAGAAUGACCUGGCCCAAAAGAGUUUGAUAAGUGUUUCCAGGACAGAUAUGGAGAUUUCUAGUGUGUGGCAGCAUGUGAACUCAGGCUGGGUAGGCUGGCACUCUACAAUGGUAAGGGACAGGUCUGCCAGUGAGCCUUUAUCCUAGGACAUGCCAGCAAGAUGUCUGCUGGAGCAGUCACUUAUGCACAGAUGUAAUUUGAAGGAAGUGACAUUUCACUUUGUGUGCACACCUCUGUCUGCAAGUAGAAGCCAAGCAAUAAAAAAAAUACUCUUGGAUGCCCCUGAAAAUGGACUGCCUCAGCUCUGCCAGAAUAGCAUCCCUGCAAGUGUUGCUGGUUUCUCCACUCGCACAGGAGCACAGUAAUAGUUCUUGUGGAGCUUCAUUGAGCUUUCUGGAGCCAGCUAACUCCUACUGAGUGUUUCUUACUGUUCAUAUAGCUUGAAAAUCUAAGGCUUCAUUUCUAAUGAAGCCUCUGCACAAAAGGCAGCAUAUUGUUCUUCCAGCUCUGAUGACUUGUGCAUCUCUGUUAGAUGGCUUUGGCACAAGGAAAUUCAUUUACACUCAGUUUCCUUGAAACUUUCACCCCGCAUCAGCCUCAUGCUGUUGCCUGCAGCCAGGAUAGUGCUGAGAGCUGGCGGUGUGUGUAACACACCAGAACGGAGGCAGCAUGAUUGUAAAUCCUGAGUUCAUCCCUCACCUCUGCCUUCUUCCAGGCUUGCACAACUUGGUGAGAGGCAUUUCUAAAGAAGAAGCCAAACCCAUCAGUUUUUUAGAUUGUUUUGUUACUGGGCUUAGCAGAGAGGCUCCUUCCUACCCUCAGCCUGAGCGAUUGCUUUGCAUAAGGGGACAAGCUUGUCACCUCUUGCAGAGAGAGGUGGCAGCUUUGCCCAGUGCCUCCUUGCUGGAGACUGCAUGGAAGGAGAUAGGCAGACUAAUGAGAAACACACAACAUGUUCCCCUUUUUCAGGCGAUACCCUGACUUCUCACAGAGGCCAAUUGCUGAUGCUGGUCCCGAGGUGGAGGAACAGCCACUUAACUGGGCCCUACCAGCCAUCAGGUGCAAGCUAAAAAUUUGUAGUGAAGGUCCGUGUGUGCAGUGUGUGGUCACCAGCACUUCCCAGGCAGAGGGCUGACAGGGUGGUAAUUGGCAGAUCUCAUCACACUGGUCAAAGGGAGCUCUCCUGUGCGACAAUUAUUGCCUGGGGGGAAAGGGAAGAAACCUGGAGGCAGGGAAUUAGAGUAAGCGCUGAUGAGUUGGCAGAUGCUGCUGGAUCAAUGGCUGUGUCAUGGCAGGAGAGCAGCAACAGCCCUCUUGGAGCCAUCAGUCACUGUUGUCUUGGGUAAACACCAGCAAGUGGAGCAAGAAGAGAAACGGGAGGGGGGUCACAGGCCUGCUAGGCCAUGCUUAAUUACUUUGGUUGCAUGAGAGGGACACUUGCCUACUGUGACAGUCCCACUUGGGGAGCUGCACACACAGUAGUUAGCACUGGAGGCACAUGGCCAUUUUCAUCCAGAAGAAAAACCACCAGGAUCUCAAAGCACUGCAGCAAGCAGCUGACAGCAGGCAUGUAUUGUGCACACCUGCAAGGUCCUGUGCUGUGCCAUGCCACCCCACCAGGGCAAAACAGUGAGGGCCGUGUGUGUGACAGCAGCCACCAAGGCCCUGUGCAGUGUGGCCUCGGCAGGGUACCUGCCUUGCCACGUGGUGUGGUCUGCGUGCUGCUACUGCUGUGAGAAGACCAUGCUGUCCUUCCCUGUUCUUCCUUCCUUGAAGUGACUGUCAGGGCCCAUGGCAGCACGGGGCUGUUGCCUGCACCAUGAACCAUGCUGGCACUUGGAUUGUGGGGACUGGUUGUUGGUUGUGCAAAAUCACCCAGUCCUGAGCUCAGCACAAAUUCAGAGAGACGUGGAAAUUGUGCAUGAUGAAAAUACAUCCUGCCCUGCUCUGAUGUAACUUUCACAAUGCUAAUUUCCUCAGUGGAAACACCAUUUUCUAGAGGGCUCUGAGGACAUGCUUUCUCCUCAGCAGUGUCCUGGUUUCAGGUCUGUGCUGCCUCUGCACUGCUCCUCCAGCAGGGCUGCCUGCUUGUGUCACUGUGCUCUUGCUGUAACAACAAGCCAAUCCAGGUUUAAUAAGCAAAAGUAGGCAGGGGUGCUUUGACAGUGCAAACAGUUUUACUAGAACUGAUGUGGAGAUGCAAAACAAACAAAAACAGAGAGAAGAGAGUUUAAAACCAUUUAAGGUGAAUUUUGACAUCAUAGUGUUGAAUUCCAUUGGGAGUCAAAAUUCAACUGCUGAGCCAGUGCAAGCUAGGGGUGCUAGAUGUUGUUUCUAGAUCAAACAAAAUGCAGCAGCACCAGCUGUGCUUCUGCAUUGGAGAGGCCCUCCUUAUAAAGCCAAAAGGUGACUGAUGGGCUGGCUCAGCAGAUGGCAGUGGGUUUGGCACCAGCACUGCUGUACUGUAGGGGACCUGAGCUGUGUAGGCACGUGCCCCCAUUGCUGUAAGGACACCUGAUCUGAGGGCACCCACUUACCUCACUGGGUUUAGUGAUUUUUCUCCCCCCCCCUCCUCUUUUUCUCCAGGCACUGGCUCUGGCUAACAGCUUUGUAAGAGCAGCCUAUCCCUAAAGUGUAGCAGUGCUAAAUUACCACCACCAAGAUACUCUUUUGCUCGAGUUAUGGCCUUUUCCUCCUACAAUAUUUUUAACGGUGUCUUCCUAUGCUACUCUGUCAUUUAGAGGGACAGGCUUUCUGUUAUAUACACAAUGAUUCCCCCUUCCCUCAACCACCUGUAACUGCAGCAAGGUUAAAGCACAACAUUUGCAUCACCUUGUCAGGCUGGUGCAAACAGAACAAUAGAAAAAGAAGAAAAUUUAAUGCCAUUCUGGAAUGUCUGUGUAACUUCUGGGUGGUGAUUGCAAAGAUAGAGAUGAUCAAAUACAAUAAAAAGGCUAUUUUCAAAUGUUCAUAGCUAUUCCAAAUAAUGAGUCUGAUUGACAAGAAGUCAUACUUCAUUUAUUUAUUUAUUGAGUAUUUGAGUAUUGAGUACUGACCAUAGAUCUGAAGGGACUUUUCUCACACAAUUAAGCAAACGCCUGUUCCUUGCACAAACGCCUCUCUUCACCUGCAAGCAGAAGGAUUUGAGAGGAAACAAGAAACACAUGUUCUUCCUUGUUUGCCAACUGCUCUCUGUCCAUGACUGCAGUUACUGCUGUUGCUGGGUAGUCAGUAGGCUUUGGCUAGGAUGAUCACAGGGUUGGAGCUGUUCUGUCCUGUUAGGUGAUGCUCUGAAUUGGGAUCUAUGAGGCAUUAUGCAGCCAUUCAAGAGCCUGCCGUGAAGAUCUCCUAGCUGAGGAUUCACUGCUUUUACAGAUUCUGGCAUCUGAGCAGGGAGGAAGCGUGGUGUCAUUUGGUGGGAAUAAUACUCAGUAGGGGAAGAAGGGAAUUUACAAGCAUACAAGCAUCCAUUUACAAGUGUAUACAUGGUUAAAAAUCAAAUAAGUAAGCCACAAUAAUGAAAACAAAGCAGAACACAACAAAAACACCUUUAAAAUCAGCAAUGAAUGUAAGCACAGAGGUAAAAUGAAAUAUAGCAGAAUGCUGGCCCACGUAGGUAUGGAGGAGGAGGGUGAGGGAGGAAGCUGGUGGUCGGGAGGACGCUCAGAAGGUGACUGGACAUCUACCAAAGGGAAAAAUAUUUCUUAAACACGGGCUGAAGAUUCACAUGGGCUCUGAAACCUGCAGGGAGGUCAGUGGUUGUUGUCUCAGUUUCAUGCAUUUUGGUCUUUGUGCUCUGCAUUGCCAGAGUAGUUCUAUUUUUUUUCUGGGAGUGCUAAAUUAUUUCCAUUUAAAACAAACAAACAAGCAAACGAAUCCUUUUUGCUAGGCACUUAUUGUAUGACAUAGGCCCAGCGACAGAUAUUUCCUAAGGAUUCCAUUCACACAGCAACUGCGUGCAGAAGCCACAUUAUGCACACAGUGGACCAUGCAUAACAGCACCUGCUGCUGCUCCUGCUGCUACUAAAGAGAGAGCAACUAAUCUCUUUAAUUAUUGGAGAAGAAUUAAGGCUUGAUUUGUCUUAUUACAGGAACAUAGGUAUUUCCCUCCUGUGGGCUGGAGAGGAGAUGCUCUUUGCCAUCCUGUUCUGCUGCAAGGGGCACUUAAACUAUUGGGUGUGUUACCAUCAGCAGCUGAAGGAAGAGCAGGGUUGUAUGGACAUCCACCCCUCCACCUCUGAUCUGGGAGCUUUCUGUGUAGUUUCUCUCCCACAGCAGAAAAGGACAGGCUGAAGGCAGAGUUAGGGGAGCAAGGCAAAUGGCAGGGGGAUUGUGUGGGCGCUGCUGGAGUCCUCCUGUCUGCAGGCAUGCUGCACGUUCCUGGCGUGCUGGGGAGCCCAGGGGAGCAGCACAUCAGCUGGCUUCAGAGAGGAGAUGGGCUUGCAAUCAGGUGAGCACAUCUGCUGCCUUAGCCCAGGAGGGAGAGGCUGUGGACUGGGAGCAGAACACAAUCAUAGGGCGGUUAUCUUCUUGAUGAGGAUUUGGUGACAUGUUAUCGGGGAGACCCUCCCAGCAUUCUCUAAGAGGCAAAGGGAGUCAGAGGAGGGUCUGUUACCAGACUCCCCAGUUAAAGCUGCACUGAGCUAAGCUGUAAGUGGUCUUCUUUCAAACUGUACCAACAUUUGGUCAGCAUCCUUUUCUAAAACCCCCUCCCAGACCUGCUUUUUCCUUUCCAGACCCGUACCUCCUUGCCGACGCUAGAGCAAGAGGAGUGCAGUCAUGGAAAGAGCAGAAAAGAUCCUUUCCAUCCUUUUGGUUCCCCACUGCCCUUUCCUCCCUCCCUCCUUCUCACA
This is a long non-coding RNA of Tympanuchus pallidicinctus (lesser prairie-chicken), 5288 nucleotides long. RefSeq lists it as uncharacterized. The transcript has 3 exons. Lineage: Eukaryota; Metazoa; Chordata; Aves; Galliformes; Phasianidae. The record is from RefSeq and is a predicted model, not a curated record.